CAGGCCUAACACAUGCAAGUCGAACGAGACCUUCGGGUCUAGUGGCGCACGGGUGCGUAACGCGUGGGAAUCUACCCUUUGCUACGGAAUAACUCAGAGAAAUUUGUGCUAAUACCGUAUGAUGUCGAAAGACCAAAGAUUUAUCGGCAAAGGACGAGCCCGCGUAGGAUUAGCUAGUUGGUGUGGUAAAGGCGCACCAAGGCGACGAUCCUUAGCUGGUCUGAGAGGAUGAUCAGCCACACUGGGACUGAGACACGCCCCAGACUCCUACGGGAGGCAGCAGUGGGGAAUAUUGGACAAUGGGCGAAAGCCUGAUCCAGCAAUGCCGCGUGAGUGAUGAAGGCCUUAGGGUUGUAAAGCUCUUUUACCAGGGAUGAUAAUGACAGUACCUGGAGAAUAAGCUCCGGCUAACUCCGUGCCAGCAGCCGCGGUAAU
Molecule: ribosomal RNA, 435 nt
Filed under: uncultured bacterium
Lineage: Bacteria
Description: bacterial SSU rRNA
Rfam family: Bacterial small subunit ribosomal RNA
Source: RNAcentral